ACGUAUAGUUCAUCGGUAGAACACCGGCUUCCCAAGCCGGGGAGGCGGGUUCGAUUCCCGUUACGU
RNAcentral lists this transfer RNA (66 nucleotides) under bovine gut metagenome. It matches the Rfam family "tRNA". From Rfam's summary of the family: Transfer RNA (tRNA) molecules are approximately 80 nucleotides in length. Their secondary structure includes four short double-helical elements and three loops (D, anti-codon, and T loops). Further hydrogen bonds mediate the characteristic L-shaped molecular structure. tRNAs have two regions of fundamental functional importance: the anti-codon, which is responsible for specific mRNA codon recognition, and the 3' end, to which the tRNAs corresponding amino acid is attached (by aminoacyl-tRNA synthetases). tRNAs cope with the degeneracy of the genetic code in two manners: having more than one tRNA (with a specific anti-codon) for a particular amino acid; and 'wobble' base-pairing, i.e. permitting non-standard base-pairing at the 3rd anti-codon position. The record is from RNAcentral.